Molecule: ribosomal RNA, 301 nt
Filed under: uncultured bacterium
Lineage: Bacteria
Description: partial 16S ribosomal RNA
Rfam family: Bacterial small subunit ribosomal RNA
Source: RNAcentral
CAGCAGCCGCGGGAAUACAGAGGGUGCAAGCGUUAAUCGGAAUUACUGGGCGUAAAGCGCGCGUAGGUGGUUUGUUAAGUUGGAUGUGAAAUCCCCGGGCUCAACCUGGGAAUGGCAGUGGAUACUGGCAAGCUAGAGUGUGUCAGAGGAUGGUGGAAUUCCCGGUGUAGCGGUGAAAUGCGUAGAGAUCGGGAGGAACAUCAGUGGCGAAGGCGGCCAUCUGGGACAACACUGACGCUGAGGCACGAAAGCGUGGGGAGCAAACAUGAUUAGAUACCCGCGUAGUCCCUGUCUCUUAUAA